ACCUCACUGGCUCAGUUGGUAGAGCAUGUGACUCUUGAUCUUGGGGUCGUGAGUUCAAGCCCCACUUUGGGCA
This 73-nucleotide transfer RNA is filed under the name Ailuropoda melanoleuca (giant panda). It matches the Rfam family "tRNA". From Rfam's summary of the family: Transfer RNA (tRNA) molecules are approximately 80 nucleotides in length. Lineage: Eukaryota; Metazoa; Chordata; Mammalia; Carnivora; Ursidae. The record is from Rfam by way of RNAcentral.